GGGGAAUCUUCCGCAAUGGACGAAAGUCUGACGGAGCAACGCCGCGUGAGUGAUGACGGCCUUCGGGUUGUAAAGCUCUGUUAAUCGGGACGAAAGGUCUUCUUGCGAAUAGUUAGAAGAAUUGACGGUACCGGAAUAGAAAGCCACGGCUAACUACGUGCCAGCAGCCGCGGUAAUACGUAGGUGGCAAGCGUUGUCCGGAAUUAUUGGGCGUAAAGCGCGCGCAGGCGGAUCAGUUAGUCUGUCUUAAAAGUUCGGGGCUUAACCCCGUGAUGGGAUGGAAACUGCUGAUCUAGAGUAUCGGAGAGGAAAGUGGAAUUCCUAGUGUAGCGGUGAAAUGCGUAGAUAUUAGGAAGAACACCAGUGGCGAAGGCGACUUUCUGGACGAAAACUGACGCUGAGGCGCGAAAGCCAGGGGAGCGAACGGGAUUAGAUACCCCGGUAGUCCUGGCCGUAAACGAUGGGUACUAGGUGUAGGAGGUAUCGACCCCUUCUGUGCCGGAGUUAACGCAAUAAGUACCCCGCCUGGGGAGUACGACCGCAAGGUUG
RNAcentral lists this ribosomal RNA (549 nucleotides) under uncultured bacterium. RNAcentral describes it as "bacterial SSU rRNA". It matches the Rfam family "Bacterial small subunit ribosomal RNA", at positions 356 to 896 of the family's 1533-position model. The record is from RNAcentral.